This 656-nucleotide long non-coding RNA is filed under the name Monodelphis domestica (gray short-tailed opossum). RNAcentral describes it as "lncRNA (ENSMODG00000049290.1)". Lineage: Eukaryota; Metazoa; Chordata; Mammalia; Didelphimorphia; Didelphidae. The record is from RNAcentral.
UUGGAGAAAGACGACCUCGAGAAAGAAAAGCGAUUUGGAGGCUUAUUUGGAAAGUAAUAUUUCAGGCUCCACCGUAGUGUUGAGGAAAGAAUCAAAUUUAUAAACAGAGGACAAGGUUCAGCAUCCCAGCUGCCGCCAGGUGGUGCAGUGAACCCAGCAUUGGCUCCAGCGUCAGGGAGAUUGAAGCUGGAAUUUGGACUCCGACAUUGACCAGCUAUGUGACCCUGGACCAGUCACUUCACCUCUGCCUGCUCUCAGACUAUAUUUCUAGAAGGAAGAUCUAAUACUAUAUGCAUAUCUAUAGAAGGAAGAUAAUCCCAGUUGAUCCGUUCUCUCUCUGGAGGUGGAGAACAUUCUUUGUCAAGCCGGAUGACAUCUGAUCAGGGAUCUUGCAGAAAGGAGCCAGGACUCAGGGAGACCAGAUUCUUCAGAUUCCAAAUCUUCUGCUCUUUCCAGGCUGCCUUCCAGAUUGGCUAACCCAGCCCAGUGGAGUUCCAUAUUUCUCUUUGGAGGAACGAAGAGAUGCUGUUUGCGUGGAUAGGUCCUCCGAUAAGCUUCUUUGUAUAAGCUUUUUUUCUAUAGGACUGAAGAGACUCAGAAUUAGCCUCUUCCAAAUCUCAUUUUAUUAUGUGAAAUAAAAGAAGAUGGUGGAAGAU